Molecule: long non-coding RNA, 388 nt
Organism: Arabidopsis thaliana (thale cress)
Lineage: Eukaryota; Viridiplantae; Streptophyta; Magnoliopsida; Brassicales; Brassicaceae
Product: other RNA
Exons: 1
Source: RefSeq
GCCGCCUGUGCCACCUAAUAGAUAAACGCUUCGAUCUAUGCCACGUGGAGCCGGAAUGUUAGUUCUGCCGCUUUUUAUUGUGGCGGGUUGAAUUUGAUAAAAAGCUCAAAAGUGACCGAAGAGUUUAGACACGUGACAUGAUGUGGAUGGUUCAUAAUCAAAAUGAUUAGACGCAUGAAUUUACGAGCAUCGAUAAUGAUUGCCCAAGUAGAACCUUUAUAUGCUUUGCCCACACAGGUAGUAUAUGAAUACCCACCGAGAUUAGUUAGGUCGGCAGGAUUGGGUUUAUAUUCGUGUAACGACCACAUCUAUUGCACAUGCCACGUUUUAUAUGAAAUCAUCAAAACGCUUAUGCGUAUGGAUUUUGCCUCUCUGGCUCGAUCUAACG